UACGGAGGGUGCAAGCGUUAUCCGGAUUCACUGGGUUUAAAGGGUGCGUAGGUGGGUCUGUAAGUCAGUGGUGAAAUCCCCGAGCUUAACUUGGAAACUGCCGUUGAUACUAUAGAUCUUGAAUAUCGUGGAGGUAAGCGGAAUAUGUCAUGUAGCGGUGAAAUGCUUAGAUAUGACAUAGAACACCAAUUGCGAAGGCAGCUUACUACACGAUCAUUGACACUGAGGCACGAAAGCGUGGGGAGCAAACAGG
This 253-nucleotide ribosomal RNA is filed under the name uncultured bacterium. Its description in RNAcentral is "partial 16S ribosomal RNA". It matches the Rfam family "Bacterial small subunit ribosomal RNA", at positions 524 to 776 of the family's 1533-position model. The record is from RNAcentral.